CGACGUAGGUAACCUGCCUGGUAGCGGGGGAUAACUAUUGGAAACGAUAGCUAAUACCGCAUAAGAGUAGAUGUUGCAUGACAUUUGCUUAAAAGGUGCAAUUGCAUCACUACCAGAUGGACCUGCGUUGUAUUAGCUAGUUGGUGGGGUAACGGCUCACCAAGGCGACGAUACAUAGCCGACCUAAGAGGGUGAUCGGCCACACUGGGACUGAGACACGGUCCAG
Molecule: ribosomal RNA, 226 nt
Filed under: uncultured bacterium
Lineage: Bacteria
Description: partial 16S ribosomal RNA
Rfam family: Bacterial small subunit ribosomal RNA
Source: RNAcentral